Molecule: ribosomal RNA, 253 nt
Filed under: uncultured bacterium
Lineage: Bacteria
Description: partial 16S ribosomal RNA
Rfam family: Bacterial small subunit ribosomal RNA
Source: RNAcentral
UACGGAGGGUGCGAGCGUUAAUCGGAAUUACUGGGCGUAAAGCGUGCGCAGGCGGCCCGUUAAGCCAGAUGUGAAAGCCCCGGGCUCAACCUGGGAACGGCAUUUGGAACUGGCGGGCUGGAGUUGGGCAGAGGGGGGCGGAAUUCCGGGUGUAGCGGUGAAAUGCGUAGGUAUCCGGAGGAACACCAGUGGCGAAGGCGGCCCCCUGGGCCCAAACUGACGCUGAGGCACGAAAGCGUGGGUAGCAAACAGG